GCAAUCGGACGGACCGAAGCCUCGUGACAAAGGUCGCCUUGGGCGGCCGAGCAAUCCAGCGGGCCGUAACGUGA
This is a non-coding RNA of Bradyrhizobium sp. NAS80.1, 74 nucleotides long. Lineage: Bacteria; Pseudomonadati; Pseudomonadota; Alphaproteobacteria; Hyphomicrobiales; Nitrobacteraceae. The record is from Rfam.